AGAGUUUGAUCCUGGCUCAGGAUGAACGCUGACAGAAUGCUUAACACAUGCAAGUCUACUUGAUCCUUCGGGUGAUGGUGGCGGACGGGUGAGUAACGCGUAAAGAACUUGCCCUGCAGUCUGGGACAACAUUUGGAAACGAAUGCUAAUACCAGAUAUUAUGCGAGAUUCGCAUGUUUCUCGUAUGAAAGCUAUAUGCGCUGCAGGAGAGCUUUGCGUCCUAUUAGCUUGUUGGUGAGGUAACGGCUCACCAAGGCCAUGAUAGGUAGCCGGCCUGAGAGGGUGAACGGCCACAAGGGGACUGAGACACGGCCCUUACUCCUACGGGAGGCAGCAGUGGGGAAUAUUGGACAAUGGACCAUAAGUCUGAUCCAGCAAUUCUGUGUGCACGAUGAAGUUUUUCGGAAUGUAAAGUGCUUUCAGUUGGGACGAAGUAAGUGACGGUACCAACAGAAGAAGCGACGGCUAAAUACGUGCCAGCAGCCGCGGUAAUACGUAUGUCGCAAGCGUUAUCCGGAUUUAUUGGGCGUAAAGCGCGUCUAGGCGGUUUGGUAAGUCUGAUGUGAAAAUGCGGGGCUCAACUCCGUAUUGCGUUGGAAACUGCCAAACUAGAGUACUGGAGAGGUGGGCGGAACUACAAGUGUAGAGGUGAAAUUCGUAGAUAUUUGUAGGAAUGCCGAUGGGGAAGCCAGCCCACUGGACAGAUACUGACGCUAAAGCGCGAAAGCGUGGGUAGCAAACAGGAUUAGAUACCCUGGUAGU
Molecule: ribosomal RNA, 762 nt
Filed under: uncultured bacterium
Lineage: Bacteria
Description: bacterial SSU rRNA
Rfam family: Bacterial small subunit ribosomal RNA
Source: RNAcentral